UGGGGAAUCUUGCACAAUGGAGGAAACUCUGAUGCAGCGACGCCGCGUGAGCGAAGAAGCCUUUCGGGGUGUAACGCUCUUACGCCAGGGACGAUAAUGACGGUACCUGGAGAAGCAGCUGCGGCUAACUACGUGCCAGCAGCCGCGGUAAUACGUAGGCAGCAAGCGUUGUUCGGAAUUACUGGGCGUAAAGGGUGCGUAGGCGGCGCUCUAAGUUUGGUAUGAAAUCUCCCGGCUUAACUGGGAGGGUGCACUGAAAACUGGGGCGCUAGAGUGUGGGAGAGGAAAGCGGAAUUCCGGGUGUAGCGGUGAAAUGCGUAGAGAUCAGGAGGAACACCUGCGGUGCAGACGGCUUUCUGGAACAUCACUGACGCUGA
RNAcentral lists this ribosomal RNA (377 nucleotides) under uncultured bacterium. RNAcentral's name for it is "bacterial SSU rRNA". It matches the Rfam family "Bacterial small subunit ribosomal RNA", at positions 355 to 749 of the family's 1533-position model. The record is from RNAcentral.